This 274-nucleotide ribosomal RNA is filed under the name uncultured bacterium. Its description in RNAcentral is "partial 16S ribosomal RNA". It matches the Rfam family "Bacterial small subunit ribosomal RNA", at positions 523 to 796 of the family's 1533-position model. The record is from RNAcentral.
AUACGGAGGGUGCAAGCGUUAUUCGGAAUCACUGGGCGUAAAGGACGCGUAGGCGGGUUGGCAAGUCAGAUGUGAAAUCCUACAGCUUAACUGUAGAACUGCAUUUGAAACUGCUAACCUAGAGUAUGGGAGGGGGAGAUGGAAUUAGUGGUGUAGGGGUAAAAUCCGUAGAUAUCACUAGGAAUACCGAAAGCGAAGGCGAUCUCCCGGAACAUAACUGACGCUAAGGCGUGAAAGCGUGGGGAGCAAACAGGAUUAGAUACCCUUGUAGUCC